UACGUAGGGGGCAAGCGUUGUCCGGAAUCAUUGGGCGUAAAGCGCGUGUAGGCGGUUCAGUAAGUCUGCUGUGAAAGUCCAGGGCUCAACCCUGGGAUGCCGGUGGAUACUGCUGGGCUAGAGUACGGAAGAGGUGAGUGGAAUUCCCGGUGUAGCGGUGAAAUGCGCAGAUAUCGGGAGGAACACCAAUGGCGAAGGCAGCUCGCUGGGACGGUACUGACGCUAAGGCGCGAAAGCGUGGGGAGCGAACAGG
Molecule: ribosomal RNA, 253 nt
Filed under: uncultured bacterium
Lineage: Bacteria
Description: partial 16S ribosomal RNA
Rfam family: Bacterial small subunit ribosomal RNA
Source: RNAcentral